CAGCCGCCGCGGUAAUACGUAGGUGGCAAGCGUUGUCCGGAAUUAUUGGGCGUAAAGCGCGCGCAGGCGGCCUAUCCAGUCUGUCUUAAAAGUUCGGGGCUCAACCCCGUGAUGGGAUGGAAACUAGUAGGCUAGAGUAUCGGAGAGGAAAGCGGAAUUCCUAGUGUAGCGGUGAAAUGCGUAGAUAUUAGGUGGAACACCAGUGGCGAAGGCGGCUUUCUGGACGAAAACUGACGCUGAGGCGCGAAAGCCAGGGGAGCGAACGGGAUUAGAUACCCCCGUAGUCCCUGUCUCUUAUACA
Molecule: ribosomal RNA, 301 nt
Filed under: uncultured bacterium
Lineage: Bacteria
Description: partial 16S ribosomal RNA
Rfam family: Bacterial small subunit ribosomal RNA
Source: RNAcentral